GGUGGGGUGAGAGAGGUUUGCUGCUUUGCAUGGAGGAUCUUGUGCCGCAGCAUCACUUGUGACUCUGAGAUUACAGCAGCUGCUUGUGCUGUUUUGUGAUUUUUUUGGGGGUUGUUUUUGCCCUGGCUGAGUGGGAGCCUCUCCGCGGGGGGGCGCUGCUGUUGCCAAAGUUUUCUUUGCAGGCCCUGGGGCGCUUGGACGGUCUGGCUGGGACCGGUGUGUGCAAGGCUAGCGUUCCCCGGAGCAGACCCGUCUAGUGCUCUGGCCGCUGCUGCUAGAAGAGUUUCAUUGCUCUCCAUGCCCUGUGUCAGCUGAGCGGAUGGGGGGAUAUCUGAGGCUGUGAGGUGGGUGAGUACCCCCCUGCUUUGCCUCCCAGCCCUAGGCAUGCGGUAAGGGAAGGGAGGAGCAGUGCUUGCUAGUGACUUUCCACCCUGAAGAUGUUAGAAACCCAGAGGGGAAUAUGAUGUAUUCUCUUGUUAGUGGCAUUCCUUAAAAUCCAGAUCUGGCUGAUAGCUGUCAAUAUAAAGUGUCCCCCCUUUUAAAAAAAGGGUUGUGAUCCCUAUGGGCUGAGUAAGCUAGGCACUGUGCCUUGCUCUGCUAAUCAGAACCUGACAUGUUGCAUAAUUCUAUCACCAGUCAUUUAUGUGUUACCAGUUUCCAAAAGACCGUGGCCCACAAGUUCAGGUAUGUCUUAAUUUUUGGGUGCACUGGGCACCAAAGUCUUCUCAUCCUUCUUUAGUCCCCCAGAGCACACAAAAUCCGCAACACUUUUUGAAAAUGUGGUUGCAUAUCCCAUUGCAGAAGUGCUUCCAUCUUGUAAAUUUGCCAUCAGGGCAUGUGAUCUCAUCUCUAGCCCACAUGUGGGAGGUUAAUAUAUUAGCAGAGUUACUUGAAUGCUAUGUUAAAACUCAACCAGUAUUUUGAUUUUGUUUUGCACUGAAAUGUAUAUCUAUAUAUCUCAAAUCUAAGCUAGAUGGAAUCUUCUUAAACUCUCCAAUUUCUCAGCCUACUUUGUUUUCUUAAUUGUAUUCCUGGUAAUGUAUUUGUGAGUAUUAAAAGUAUCAAGAGCGCACAGUGGAGAGACUGGCUGUGGAGGUGGAAUCAUACAUUAUUCUUGAGAUGGGGGAAAUUCAAGCUUCAUUCCGUCUCUUGUGGCUCUGGAUAAGCUGUUUGAUAUCUAGGCUCCUGGCUGUAGAAUGGCUGCCUCUUUCCGCUAUGGAGUGACCAUCACUGGAGCUAUCCUGCUGGUGACAGGAACGCUUUGUUUUGCCUGGUGGAGCGAUGGCGAGGUGGGACCCACGUCUAAUAAUGAUGCUAUGGCUGUGCCUCAUGGAGAAGCCAAAGUGGUGCCAAACUCCUCCUCCUCUAAUGCACUGCUCAGGUCUGUCAGCUUCUUCUGCUGCGGCAUCGGUGGCUUCCUCCUCCUCUUUGGGCUUCUGUGGUCAGUGAAAGCAAACGCUCGGGGGAUGUCUCGACACUAUCAGUACCACUUCUCCAGAGACCUACACUACUUCACUGUGGAACCUCUUGAUAAAAGGAUGUGCAGUGUCUGGGAUGCCAAUGCUGUCCCCACCUAUGAAGAAGCCCUGAACUGCAGGCCUGCUCAGAGUACCCUAAAUUAUAUACCGCCUUAUGGCGGGAAGGAGGAGACUUCACCCCCUCUAUAUGGAGACUUAGAUGAGGAUGAUACGUGGCCAGGUUGUCGCAGACGCAGCUCCUCAGACAGUGUGCUGCUCAGGACCGUGCCAUCCAGGAGGGAAACAGAGUCCUGGGGCGAGCCCAGUGCUACACCACCGCCCAGCUAUGAAGACAUCAGUGUACAUGGUGUAUGAUCUACGAACCACAUACAAUGCGUUGGACUCUAUAGAUUGCUGCCUAGUCUGUAUGCUUUGGAACCGGCCCUUUCCUUCUCUAAAUAAUGAUCAUGAAGUGAGAGGGGAAACAUAGAUCAGCUAUUCAGAUCAAAAUGGCUGUUCUGGAGUAAAUCCAGAAUAAUUACAGUAAAUCCAGAUAAGCUCAAUGCUGCCAUUUUCUGAGUUGUGUGGAUAAUCAGUAUGUUUUAAAGCUUUCAUAUAUUUAAUACAAUCACUGAAGAUUGCAAAUAUUUGACAGGUAGCAGGACAGAGGAGAAAAUAUUUUUGAGUACAUAGGAUGCCUGUUGAAAUGCACAGGGAAAUCUUUACUAGAGAGAUCCAGCCAAGCCUAGCAUCUUAGGGUAACAUUUUCAUAACAGCCUGGUGACUUAGGUGCCUAAGUGCCAUCUUAAGAAAUGAUUUGGUCACUAAGGAGGCUUAGCUGCAUUGCCGCUCAAUGACACCAGCUAAGAUUCUCAGUAGUGAUUUUUGGGUGCCCAGCAUGAGCCACCUUAAAGAGGUUUGAUUUUCAGACAGUGCUGAGCACCUCGCCUCUGAAAAACAGGCUCUUAAGGAGCCUCAGGUUGAGCACCACAAACUUGAGACAUCCCAAAUCACCAGUUUCUUUUGAAAAUCUUGGCCUUAGUUCCUAGGUGCUGAAUGUACUUUUGACGUUUCCCUAAGUCACCAGGGACCGAUGUUGCUCUGGUAGAUAAGCGCGCUGGGGCUUAAGCCUUACCCAACCAUUGAUCGUGAGCUGAACUGCUCAGCACCUCUGAGAGAGAGUGAGAGACUGUGUGUGUGUGUGUGUGUGUGUGUGUGUGUGUGUGUGUGUGUGUGUGUGUGUGUGUGUGUGUGUGUGUGUGUGUGUGUGUGUGUGUGUGUGUGAAAUGUGCUUACUUCAAUAGAUUGUUCCCCAGGAACAAAAAGAAACCAGCUUCCCUGUUUUGCGAGCAACGCAAGACAAAACUCUCCCAAAUAAUGUUUUGUGGGGAAUCCUUGAUACUAAUUAGCUAGGGCAGUGCUUUAUAAUCUGAGUGGUUUGUAUUCAGCCUGCUGUCCCUCUAAAUCAGUCACUUUGCUGCUGUAUCAUGGAAAACCCAAGUGUCUUGGUGUUUCAGUCCCUCCAGAAACAGCUGUGGGUCACACUCCUGGUGAUUGCAGGAGAGUGGGGGAAGGGUAGCGUUGUCGCUGUCAUGGAUGGCAGUGAUGACUAGCCAGCGUACUUUGUGACUGCCAUUCGCCAUACACACGGACACAAAUGUAGGAAGUGCAGAGUUCUCACUGUCGUGGGAAAUCACACACAAGGCAGCAGGAGAUAGCAAUCCGGUAAAAUCACCAUGGUGAUGCCCAUAUCAAAGCAUUAACAGGAGGGAAGCAAUCAAGCAGCUUCAGGGAAUCAAAAUUUAUGGCCAUUUUAGAGCGAGACUAAGCUAGCUCCUCAGACAGUGUAAAUUCGCAGAGUGCCAUGGCCACAGAAGAACUACGCUGAUUACACCAGCUAAGAAUCUGUCCCCCAGCCUUUGGAGUGUUGCCUCUUUAGUUGAAAGUCUGCUAAGGAGUUCACAGCAGCGAGCGCUCCCCAGAGCUUACAGUAAAUGCUUCACAGUCGGACUGGGAUUGUGUAAAAGAAUUUGUAGUUGCAAAAUAAAAAUCUCUCAAAAUUGUUGCGAAAUUUUAGGCAUUCCCCGUGUGAGGGAAUUGACAGCUUCCUGCUUGGGAUCUCUGCGAUUCUGUGUGCGUUUGCAUAUACAGACUCUCUAGAGGCAUGAGAUGAGGAAGAGUAGCUUGUAGUCAUUGCUUUUGUGUGAGUGGUGGGGUUGCGGGGUCUCUGUUUCCUAGUAAAUGUAUUCCUCCUUCAUGGCUGGGCUUGUCUCCUCCUAUUUCUUGGGCUGGGAGGGGUUGGGUUUUUGUUUUGUUUUUUAAGGAAUUUUUGCUUGGUUCUUUUGUUGUUUGUUGUUGCAAACUGAAGUUAAUGGACAAUCUUCCAUCCACAAAAAGAUUAAAGCAAAAAUAAAGCAUAUGCUGUUGUCAUAAACAGAUAGUCAAGGGUUAAUAGAACAGAAGUACUUCAUGUCUCUCCUGCCUGUAAAGGGUU
Molecule: RNA transcript, 3951 nt
Organism: Gopherus evgoodei (Goodes thornscrub tortoise)
Lineage: Eukaryota; Metazoa; Chordata; Testudines; Testudinidae
Gene: TMEM61
Gene name: transmembrane protein 61
Exons: 4
Source: RefSeq, a predicted model, not a curated record